RNAcentral lists this long non-coding RNA (502 nucleotides) under Homo sapiens (human). RNAcentral describes it as "HSALNT0373652". The record is from RNAcentral. Lineage: Eukaryota; Metazoa; Chordata; Mammalia; Primates; Hominidae.
UGGAAAGAAUACAACCUCGAACCACACAGGGACCCUGUGACAAUGUGAUCUCUGCCACUUUCUUGCUCUGUGAAUUGAGAGAGAUUAUUUCAGUUCUCUCGGUUUUCACUUUCUUAAUCCUUUCCUUAUUCAAUCUGUUUGUUUACCUUGCUCAGACAACACAAAAGAAGACACAGAAGCACCAUGGGCAAACCAUGGAACAAGAACUGGAAUGAAUAUCUAUUCCACUACCUGAACUAAAGACUGCAGACGGAGAAAGGGAAGACAGGGGUUUAACUGGCAAUUCAAAGUGAGGUGAUCAGCCUUCUGUUACAGAGUUAACUGUGUGUGAAAGAAUGUAAGAUUCAUGUAUACAUCUGACAGUGACAGCUGUAUGGCCACAGCUUCACAACUGGAGCUGCUGAUAAGACACCUACUCGGAGUAAUGAUGCAUAAUAUGGAAAUGCAAUAACCCAGACCUCGGUCUUGCUCUGUUGCCCAGGCUGUAGUGCAGAUGCAAGAU